This is a non-coding RNA of Trichonephila inaurata madagascariensis, 73 nucleotides long. The record is from the annotation of a GenBank genome assembly. Lineage: Eukaryota; Metazoa; Arthropoda; Arachnida; Araneae; Nephilidae.
GUCCCUGUAGCGUAAUGAAUGGCCCGUUGGACUUCUCUUCCAAAGGUCGUGGGUUCGAAUACCACCUGGGAUG